UGUAGCUCAGUGGCAGAGCGCUUGCCUAGCAUGCAUGAGGCACUGAGUUCAAUCCUUAGCA
RNAcentral lists this transfer RNA (61 nucleotides) under Marmota marmota marmota (Alpine marmot). It matches the Rfam family "tRNA", at positions 6 to 65 of the family's 71-position model. From Rfam's summary of the family: Transfer RNA (tRNA) molecules are approximately 80 nucleotides in length. Their secondary structure includes four short double-helical elements and three loops (D, anti-codon, and T loops). Further hydrogen bonds mediate the characteristic L-shaped molecular structure. tRNAs have two regions of fundamental functional importance: the anti-codon, which is responsible for specific mRNA codon recognition, and the 3' end, to which the tRNAs corresponding amino acid is attached (by aminoacyl-tRNA synthetases). tRNAs cope with the degeneracy of the genetic code in two manners: having more than one tRNA (with a specific anti-codon) for a particular amino acid; and 'wobble' base-pairing, i.e. permitting non-standard base-pairing at the 3rd anti-codon position. The record is from Rfam by way of RNAcentral. RNAcentral also lists the same sequence under 4 other names. Lineage: Eukaryota; Metazoa; Chordata; Mammalia; Rodentia; Sciuridae.